UGCAGUUCCAUGUAUGCCAUGUUGGAGGCCAUACCUUGCUUCUGUUCAAAAAAUCAGUAACCAUCCCAGCCCAUCCUGAGUCCUUCUACACAUUACACUCACAGUCCUGACGCAUUACCAUGUUUGGAAACAUGUGAGGCCUCCACUGAAGAUCGCUCCCAGCUCAUAUAUGGCGUGCGAGCAGCUGUGGUGAUUCUUUUAUUAACUGGAAUCACCGUCUAUUUUCUUUGGAAGAAAAAGAAGUACCAGACAGCUGAAGGCUCUG
Molecule: long non-coding RNA, 265 nt
Organism: Micropterus dolomieu (smallmouth bass)
Lineage: Eukaryota; Metazoa; Chordata; Actinopteri; Centrarchiformes; Centrarchidae
Exons: 3
Source: RefSeq, a predicted model, not a curated record